RNAcentral lists this ribosomal RNA (862 nucleotides) under uncultured bacterium. Its description in RNAcentral is "bacterial SSU rRNA". It matches the Rfam family "Bacterial small subunit ribosomal RNA", at positions 54 to 927 of the family's 1533-position model. The record is from RNAcentral.
CAUGCAAGUCGAGCGAGAACCCCGCAAGGGGGGACAGCGGCAAACGGGGUAGUAAUGUGUCGGAACGUGCCCAGAGGACGGGGUAUAGCGGCGGGAAACUGCCGGUAAUACCCGAUGAUCUCGAGAGAGCAAAGGUGUGAUUCCGCCUUUGGAGCGGCCGACAUGGUAUUAGCUAGUUGGCGGGGUAACGGCCCACCAAGGCUUUGAUGCCUAGGGGAUGUGAGAGCAUGAUCCCCACCAUUGGGACUGAGACACCGCCCAGACACCUACGGGUGGCUGCAGUCGAGAAUCUUCGUCAAUGGGCGAAAGCCUGAACGAGCGACGCCGCGUGCGGGAUGAAGGCCCUUGGGUUGUAAACCGCUGUCGAGGGGGAUGAAGGCAUUCAGGUACUCCUGAAUGUUUGACAGAGCCCUGGAGGAAGCACGGGCUAAGUUCGUGCCAGCAGCCGCGGUAAUACGAACUGUGCGAACGUUAUUCGGAAUCACUGGGCUUACAGGGUGCGUAGGCGGCUAUUCAGGUCAGGUGUGAAAGCCCUCGGCUCAACCGAGGAACUGCGCUUGAAACCGGAUGGCUCGAGUCAGCUAGAGGUACACGGAACUUCCAGUGGAGCGGUGAAAUGUGUUGAUAUUGGAAGGAACACCGGAGGCGAAAGCGGUGUACUGGGGCUGGUCUGACGCUGAGGCACGAAAGCCAGGGGAGCGAACGGGAUUAGAUACCCCGGUAGUCCUGGCCGUAAACGAUGAGUGCUGGACGGGAAGAGGUUCGCCUUCUCCGGUCGGAACGAAAGCCGGGAAGCACUCCGCCUGGGGAAUUAUGGUCGCAAAGGCUGAAACUCCAAAGGAAUUUACGGGGGCUUCACACA